CAAUGGGCGAAAGCCUGACGGAGCAACGCCGCGUGAGGGAUGAAGGCCUCUGGGCUGUAAACCUCUUUUCUCAAGGAAGAAGAUCUGACGGUACUUGAGGAAUAAGCCACGGCUAAUUCCGUGCCAGCAGCCGCGGUAAUACGGGAGUGGCAAGCGUUAUCCGGAAUUAUUGGGCGUAAAGCGUCCGCAGGCGGCCUUGUAAGUCUGUCGUUAAAGCGUGGAGCUUAACUCCAUUUAGGCGAUGGAAACUGCAGGGCUUGAGUGUGGUAGGGGCAGAGGGAAUUCCCGGUGUAGCGGUGAAAUGCGUAGAUAUCGGGAAGAACACCAGUGGCGAAGGCGCUCUGCUGGGCCAUAACUGACGCUCAUG
Molecule: ribosomal RNA, 367 nt
Filed under: uncultured cyanobacterium
Lineage: Bacteria; Bacillati; Cyanobacteriota
Description: bacterial SSU rRNA
Rfam family: Bacterial small subunit ribosomal RNA
Source: RNAcentral